Lycium ferocissimum is the source of this 1176-nucleotide long non-coding RNA. RefSeq lists it as uncharacterized. The record is from RefSeq and is a predicted model, not a curated record. The transcript has 3 exons. Lineage: Eukaryota; Viridiplantae; Streptophyta; Magnoliopsida; Solanales; Solanaceae.
UUAUUAAUAUAAAUGGUUAUACGAGUUUAUAAAUAAGAUUAGUAAGUGGCAGAAAGUUUGAAGGGUGAAUGAAUCAAAGAAGCAUGAGUUUCGUCAAAAGUUGGCAAGUUGGAAAUACGAUAACUUGUACUUUUGGGUGAUAUUAGGAGUGCUUCACAUGCUAAGAAAGUAAUGAUAUGAAGUAUUUGAAUCGUAUAAUGGUCGCUUGUUAAGUUUGGAAGUUAAACGAGUUGUAAUACGAAAGUCGACAAAGGGCGUCGCAAGUUAAGUUUGUAAAUUUCACUGAAAUUUGGGUCAGAUGUCGAGGAGCUUUUCUCUCAAUCCACUUGGAGUUACGGGGUGAUCCACCUAUCAAAUUGAAGGUCUACGAGUCUAGUUUUUAUAACAUUUUACUGUUCAUCGAUACGACAUCGGAGUAGAGAGAAAUUUGCAUUUCCGUCCAGGGACGUAAACUGCCACGGGAACAGUGUGCUAGGUCGGUGGCAGCUUAUUCCCUUUUGUAUAAAAGACCCACAAAUCAUCUUGGACCUUCAUUUUCUCUAAGAUACAAACCCUAAGCACUCCCUAUACUCUCUCAAACAUUUCUCCAUCAAUCAUAAGCAAAUCCAAAGGCUAAUCAAGUAACUUUAACAGAAGGAAUCACGUGGUAAUCGUAGAAUCAUCAUUUCUUCGUUGUUUCACUUUUCGGAAGAAAUCUUCAACUUGAAAAAAUCUCUGUUUUGGAGUGAUUCUUGAAGUUUAAGGUGAUCGUUCUUAAGGUAUUCGAGGACUCAUGGAACGUGGAAAACUUCAUCGUUAAGGUACGGUAGACGGAUUGGUGUACCUUUCUUAGUAGGAUACCAGAGUUCAGCAGGGAUGUUCGCACGCCAUUCUCCGGAGUUGCUGGUCAGAGUCAUUAAAUAGAAUGCAUGCAUCUAUAUAUAUAUUACGAGUAUGGCUAUGGGUACGCCGGGGCCACUAUCCCGACCAGUUGAUGCAUAUUAGAACUCUUAGAGGCUUACAGACUAUCAGUCAGUGUACAGGUAUUGUGUUUGGCUUUGCCGGCCUUCUGACUAGUUGUCUUUCUUGGUUGUGGCCUUGUCGGUCCUAGUUAUGCAUAUAUGUGUUGUUGGGCCUUUUCUGCUUGCAAGUUGUCAUGAUAUACUUCUUACAAUUGUUAUUCAGCGGCUUUGUCGG